GACGAACGCUGGCGGCGUGCUUAACACAUGCAAGUCGAACGGAAAGGCCCUGCUUUUGUGGGGUGCUCGAGUGGCGAACGGGUGAGUAACACGUGAGUAACCUGCCCUUGACUUUGGGAUAACUUCAGGAAACUGGGGCUAAUACCGGAUAGGAGCUCCUGCUGCAUGGUGGGGGUUGGAAAGUUUCGGCGGUUGGGGAUGGACUCGCGGCUUAUCAGCUUGUUGGUGGGGUAGUGGCUUACCAAGGCUUUGACGGGUAGCCGGCCUGAGAGGGUGACCGGCCAAAUGGGGAAUGGGAAACGGCCCGACCCCCUCGGGGGGGAAGGAGGGGGGAAUAUUGCAAAAUGGGGGGAAGCCUGAUGCAGCAACGCCGGGGGGGGGAUGACGGCCUUCGGGUUGUAAACCGCUUUCGCCUGGGACGAAGGGGGAGGGACGGUAAUGGGUAAAGAAGCACCGGUUAACUACGU
This 467-nucleotide ribosomal RNA is filed under the name uncultured bacterium. Its description in RNAcentral is "partial 16S ribosomal RNA". It matches the Rfam family "Bacterial small subunit ribosomal RNA", at positions 28 to 506 of the family's 1533-position model. The record is from RNAcentral.